This 628-nucleotide ribosomal RNA is filed under the name Streptomyces sp. ANA108. RNAcentral's name for it is "bacterial SSU rRNA". It matches the Rfam family "Bacterial small subunit ribosomal RNA", at positions 60 to 702 of the family's 1533-position model. The record is from RNAcentral. Lineage: Bacteria; Bacillati; Actinomycetota; Actinomycetes; Kitasatosporales; Streptomycetaceae.
AGUCGAACGAUGAACCUCCUUCGGGAGGGGAUUAGUGGCGAACGGGUGAGUAACACGUGGGCAAUCUGCCCUUCACUCUGGGACAAGCCCUGGAAACGGGGUCUAAUACCGGAUACGAGCCUGAGAGGCAUCUCUCGGGUUGGAACACCUCCUCGGAUGAAGGAUGAGCCCGCGGCCUAUCAGCUUGUUGGUGAGGUAAUGGCUCACCAAGGCGACGACGGGUAGCCGGCCUGAGAGGGCGACCGGCCACACUGGGACUGAGACACGGCCCAGACUCCUACGGGAGGCAGCAGUGGGGAAUAUUGCACAAUGGGCGAAAGCCUGAUGCAGCGACGCCGCGUGAGGGAUGACGGCCUUCGGGUUGUAAACCUCUUUCAGCAGGGAAGAAGCGAGAGUGACGGUACCUGCAGAAGAAGCGCCGGCUAACUACGUGCCAGCAGCCGCGGUAAUACGUAGGGCGCAAGCGUUGUCCGGAAUUAUUGGGCGUAAAGAGCUCGUAGGCGGCUUGUCACGUCGAUUGUGAAAGCCCGAGGCUUAACCUCGGGUCUGCAGUCGAUACGGGCUAGCUAGAGUGUGGUAGGGGAGAUCGGAAUUCCUGGUGUAGCGGUGAAAUGCGCAGAUAUCAGGA